This 643-nucleotide long non-coding RNA is filed under the name Capsicum annuum. RNAcentral's name for it is "long non-coding RNA (CANN_LNC017961)". The record is from RNAcentral. Lineage: Eukaryota; Viridiplantae; Streptophyta; Magnoliopsida; Solanales; Solanaceae.
GAACUCUCCAAGAAGUUAAUCCUGCUAGGGCAUUAAUGUGUAAAAUAAAGGUUGGAAACCCUAUUUUCUCGUCACACUCUCUUUUCCAAAUAGUAACUUUUCUAUCGAACAAGUUAUUGCUAUAAUGACGUAUUCCCUAUGUUUGCAACCAUGAGAUUCAAUCAAAUGAAGAGAGUAAUGAUAUAAGUGGAUUAACACAUCAUAAAUUCAAAAACCCAUAGCAAUAGAGAGUAUACUACAAGUUUUACAUAACCCUAACAGAUAAACUUAGCUACUCAUGAAUAAAACAGAAAUCAACAUAGAAAUAUUCAUCAUACCAAAACUUAGAACGAUCUUGGUGAUGAAGGUGACUAGCAAAAUUAAAAGACAAAACACGUUUCUCUCUCUCUGUCCUCAAGCUAAGCCGCUUUCUCUUGUUUUCAAAAUAAUACAGAAUGUCAAUAAUCCCUAAAAAUUCAGCAAUAAUGCUUUUAAUAAUAUCAUUCUCUAAUAAAUUGCUACUGCAUCCUUAACUAUUUAAAAAUAUUGAGUUUGCCCCGGAAAAAGUUCACAUACAUCACAUUCAGUCCAAAAGCUGCUUUCCUUGUUAUGUGAAGUUUUCCUUUUCUGUCCACAGGUCCCCAAAGUGCUGAAAUCUUCNNNN